AAAAAAGAAAUAGAAGAAUUCCAUUUUCCUUCGUCAUUCAUCGGAGAGCUCUCUUUAGGCUUUCCGAAAAGAUAUCACAUGCCAAGUUUGGCCUCACGGUCUAAAAGUUAUAGAGUCAUACAUUUUUCACAAAACAAAAAGAGAAAAACCGAAAAAAAUAGGGAUGCAACACGAGGACUUUCCUGGAGGUCACCCAUCCUAGUACUAAUCUCGCCCAAGCACCCUUAACUGCGUAGUUCUGAUGGGAUCCGAUGCAUUAGUCCUGGUAUGAUCGCAUCUGUUACUAUAUGCAAUAUAAUCGUAUCUAUUCUUUUUUAAAGACUUUAUGAUCCAUUUGCCGUGGGUCCCACCAGCUAUGUAGGAUACCCUAUCUUCAUAAUAAGAGCUUUGAUAAAUGCAAAAUAUUGGAAAACAAUGUCCGAACAUAUAAUUUCCCCCCCCCCCCCCGUAAUAUAGCAAAGAUCACGAAAAAGCCCAAAAAAGUACAUUUAGGUCAAAAUUUGAGUAGAAAAAAAAACAAAUAGAGGAAUUCCAUUUUCCGUCCUCAUUCAUCGGAGAGCUCUCUUUCGGCUUUCCGAAAAGGUAUCACAUGCCAAGUUUGGCCUCACGGUCUAAAAGUUAUAGAGUCAUACAUUUUUAACAAAACAAAAUAGAGAAAAACCGAAAAAAAGAAGGAUGCAACACGAGGACUUCCCGGGAGGUCACCCAUCCUAGUACUACUCUCGCCUAAGCACCCUUAACUGCGGAGUUCUGAUGGGAUCAGGUGCAUUAGUGCUGGUAUGAUCGCAUGUGGUACUACAUGCAAUGUAAUCGUAUCUAUUCCUUUUGAAAGACUUUAUGAUCCAUUUGCCGUGGGUCCCACCAGCUAUGUAGGAAUACCCUAUCUUCUUUAUAAGAGCUUUGAUACAUGCAAAAUAUUUGAAAACAAUGUCCGAACAUAUAAUUUUCCCCCCGUUAUAUAGCAAAGAUCACGAAAAGGCCCAAAAAAGUACAAUUAGUUCAAAAUUUGGAGUAGAAAAAAAAACAAUAGAAGAAUUCCAUUUUCCUUCCUCAGUCAUCGGAGAGCUCUCUUUGGGCUUUCCAAAAAGGUAUCACAUGCCAAGUUUGGCCUCACAGUCUAAAAGUUAUAGAGUCAUACAUUUUUAACAAAACAAAAUAGAGAAAAACCGAAAAAAAGAGGGAUGCAACACGAGGACUUUCCGGGAGGUAACCCAUCCUAGUACUACUCUCGCCCAAGCACCCUUAACUGCGGAGUUUUGAUGGGAUCCGGUGCAUUAGUGUUGGUAUGAUCGCAUGUGUUACUACAUGCAAUGUAAUCGUAUCUAUUCCUUUUGAAAGACUUUAUGAUCCAUUUGCCGUGGGUCCCACCAGCUAUGUAGGAAUACCCUAUCUUCUUUAUAAGAGCUUUGAUACAUACAAAAUAUUGGAUCACAAUGUCAU
RNAcentral lists this small RNA (1440 nucleotides) under Arabidopsis thaliana (thale cress). RNAcentral's name for it is "ATSL164330". Lineage: Eukaryota; Viridiplantae; Streptophyta; Magnoliopsida; Brassicales; Brassicaceae. The record is from RNAcentral.